Molecule: ribosomal RNA, 358 nt
Filed under: Escherichia coli
Lineage: Bacteria; Pseudomonadati; Pseudomonadota; Gammaproteobacteria; Enterobacterales; Enterobacteriaceae
Description: partial 23S ribosomal RNA
Rfam family: Bacterial large subunit ribosomal RNA
Source: RNAcentral
AAUGGGUCAGCGACUUAUAUUCUGUAGCAAGGUUAACCGAAUAGGGGAGCCGAAGGGAAACCGAGUCUUAACUGGGCGUUAAGUUGCAGGGUAUAGACCCGAAACCCGGUGAUCUAGCCAUGGGCAGGUUGAAGGUUGGGUAACACUAACUGGAGGACCGAACCGACUAAUGUUGAAAAAUUAGCGGAUGACUUGUGGCUGGGGGUGAAAGGCCAAUCAAACCGGGAGAUAGCUGGUUCUCCCCGAAAGCUAUUUAGGUAGCGCCUCGUGAAUUCAUCUCCGGGGGUAGAGCACUGUUUCGGCAAGGGGGUCAUCCCGACUUACCAACCCGAUGCAAACUGCGAAUACCGGAGAAUGU